AUUACUAUNUAAGCAAAAUUGUAAGAUUAUGAAUGGCUCAGUAAAGCAGCUGCUGCUUAUGAGAUAAUAUUUCUAGAUGGAUUGCCAUGGCAACCCAAGAACUAAUACAUGUGCAAACCAGAUCUAGCAUGAGAUGGAAUUGUUUCUGUGUUUGGAGCCGCUCAAGCUUGUACUGUGUCUAAGACGAGUUGUGAUAUCUGAGUAAACUGUGCAGUAUCUGCCAAUGGGAAGUCCUUCAAAUUUCUGACCUAUCAGCUAUUGAUGGUAAGGUGUAUGCUUACCAUGGCAAUGACAGGUAACGGCGGAUUCAGGUUUUGUUCCGGAGAGGGAGCCUAAGAAAUGGCUACCACAUCCAAGGAUGGCAGCAGGUGCGCAAAUUACCCAAUCUGGAUGUAGUGAGGUAGUGACAAGAAAUGGCCAUGCAGGGCAUAGUGUCUUGUAAUGGGAAUGAGUUGACCCUUCAUUCUUCUAUGAGCAGCAAUUGGAGGGCAAGUCUGGUGCCAGCAGCCGCGGUAAUUCCAGCUCCAUCAGUGUACAUUAAAAUUGUUGCAGUUGAAAAACUCGUAGUUGGAUUUAUGCCAAGACUAACUGGUCCAUCCUUUGGCUGAGCAUCAGAGGUGGUAACAACAGCAUAUUGAGCAUUGUGGCUGUACUUAGCUGUGUGGCUCUAUGUCCAAGCUUGUUACGUUGAUGAAAUUACUGUGCUUCAAGCAGGCAGAAACCUUGGAUAUACUAGCAUGAAAUAGCACAAUUAUGCCUCAGUUGUGAUGCUGGCCCCUGGACAUAGGUGAUGAUGGACUGGGACACUUGAGGGCAAACAGACUCAACUUCAAGAGGUGAAAUUCUAAGAUUUGUUGAAGAUGCCCUACUGUGAAAGCAUUUGUCAGGACCAUGCCCAUUGAUCAAGAAUGAAAGCUCAGGGCUUGAAGAUGAUUAGAUACCGUCGUAAUCUGAACUGUAAACAAUGCCAGCUAAAGAUUGGAGGUUGUCACUGAGCUGGCGCCUUCAGCACUUUAUGAGAAAUCAAAGUUUCUGGGCUCUGGGGGGAGUAUGGUUGCAAGACUCAAACUUAAAGGAAUUGACGGAAGGGCACCAUCAGAAGUGGAGCCUGCGGCUUAAUUUGACUCAACACGUGAAAAUUCAUCAGGCCCAGACAUGGCAAGGAUUGACGCACUAAUAGCUCNUCUNNNNNNNCAUGGGUGGUGGUGCAUGGCCGUUCUUAGUUGGUGGAGUGGUCUGUCUGGUUAAUUCCGUGAACGAACGAGAUCUCUCCCUGCUAAAUUGUGUUGUACAGCAUUGAUUGUUUGAAGUAUCUCUUAGAGGAACCCUGUACGUCUACUACUUGGAAGCCUGAGGCAAUAACAGGUCUGUGAUGCCCUCAGAUGUGCUGGGCUGCACGCGCGCUACACUGAUGUAUGCAACAAGUGCUUUGUCUUAUCUGAAAUGGUAAGUGAAUUUUCUUCAAAUCUACCAUGGCUGGGAUUAGUAAUUGCAAUUAUUCGCUCUCAACAAGGAACUUCUAGUAGGUACAAGUCAUCAACUUGUGCUGACUAUGUCCCUGCGCUUUGUACACACCGCCCGUCGCUCCUACUGAUAGAGUGCUCUGGUAAAUAAUUUGGCCACAGCAUUGUGCAUAUCUGGCAAUAACUGUAGAAAAUUUGAUGAGCCUUAUCACUUAGAGGAANNA
This 1687-nucleotide ribosomal RNA is filed under the name Protoperidinium thorianum. RNAcentral describes it as "SSU rRNA". It matches the Rfam family "Eukaryotic small subunit ribosomal RNA". The record is from RNAcentral. Lineage: Eukaryota; Dinophyceae; Peridiniales; Protoperidiniaceae.